Molecule: ribosomal RNA, 253 nt
Filed under: uncultured bacterium
Lineage: Bacteria
Description: partial 16S ribosomal RNA
Rfam family: Bacterial small subunit ribosomal RNA
Source: RNAcentral
UACGUAGGAUGCAAGCGUUGUCCGGAAUUAUUGGGCGUAAAGAGUUCGUAGGCGGUUGCCUAAGUCUGGUGUUAAAUACAGGAGCUCAACUCCUGCAUGGCACUGGAAACUGGGCGGCUAGAGUGUGGUAGAGGUCACGGGAAUUCCAGGUGUAGCGGUGAAAUGCGUAGAUAUCAGGAGGAACACCGGUGGCGAAGGCGGGUCUCUGGGCAGUAACUGACGCUGAGGAGCGAAAGCGUGGGGAGCGAACAGG